GGCCUCUGCCUGUCCCGUGGGGAGGCCGGAUCCUGGGCUGUGUCCCGGUGCCCUGUGUUCCGGGGCCUGCGCUGUUGGAUUUGUGCUCCCGCCCGCAGCCCCCUCCGCGGAGCCGCAGCCCGA
This 123-nucleotide microRNA precursor is filed under the name Canis lupus familiaris (dog). RNAcentral's name for it is "miRNA (ENSCAFG00000051520.1)". The stretch from base 17 to 104 matches the Rfam family "mir-8799 microRNA precursor family". The record is from RNAcentral. Lineage: Eukaryota; Metazoa; Chordata; Mammalia; Carnivora; Canidae.